Long non-coding RNA from Daphnia magna, 682 nucleotides. RefSeq lists it as uncharacterized. The transcript is spliced from 3 exons. The record is from RefSeq and is a predicted model, not a curated record. NCBI's taxonomy places the organism in Eukaryota, Metazoa, Arthropoda, Branchiopoda, Diplostraca, Daphniidae.
AGAAUAAUGAAAUGCAUCAAACUAGAUUGCGUCUGCUAUUGAAACCACGAGAAAGGAAACAGAACGAAGUGAACAUCACGACUUCAGAUUACUUUACGUUACUUGGAUUCUUUAAACAAAGUUGUUGCUCGUAAAGACCAUUCGUGAGAAGCGUAUCUCUUCAGUGUUGCAGCUUAUUACCGUCCUUUAUUUAAAAUAAAGUUCUGUUCGUUCUGGAGUAACCAAUUGCUAUCAACAGUGUUUCACUAAGUCAGACCAAUAUUGGUGGGCACGUUCACCAUUUGGUAAUAUAACACACACACAUUAUUUAAACAUAAAUAUAGUUAAUACUAGUCGUGCUUCCUCUGGAUAGAUAGACAAUACUGUUAUAAGUUAAUCACUCUUUCCUAUACUAUCAUUGCCAGCUGCAAUGAAUAAGCGAAAGGUUAAAGUGUUUGUAGGCACAAGACAGAGAGCCCGGAGAUUAAGAAAAACUAUUGAUGAGCAAUUAAAUGAGAAUGAUGAUGAGAGUGUACAUAGUGCUAAUGAAGAACUGGUCAAUUUUCAAAUUGAAACUUUAGACAAUUCCAAUGAAAUCAUCCAUGUUAGUGGCAGUGAUCUUGCGAGCCAAGAUAUUGUUACACUUGGGGGUGAUGUGUAACACGAGUGUAUUAGGACGUCCACACGGUAAGACGUCAAGUAA